CAUCUUAAAGAGAAAAAGUUUGGUUAAAAUAUCAUAGUUUAAAACACUAUACUCGCUUUCUCAUAAGCAAGCAAUUUGCACUACCACGUGUAAUUCAUUAUGCAGCAUCAACCGUUCCACACAUCAUCAUAUACUGUCGUUAACGUUGAUAAAGCGAAAAACUAAUAUAAGCCUAUCAUUCUAUUGAGCACAUUGGUCUUCUUGUCAAGAAGACUAAUCCAACUAAACAACCAACCAGUUCAACUAAACAACCAAAAAAAAGGUAAGUAAAAUGUUGUCAUUAUAUACACAUCAGGCGGACUGGUUCCUUCCCUUAUGUAACGUCAUUUGGCAGUAGAACAACAUCGAGAUUGACGGAAAAUGAAGCUUGUAAGAUGUCAAAAAUCUCUGCGGGACGCUUCAAAUCGUCUCACGUUAUCAAAAAAUCCGAAAGCUUUUGACGACUUUUUUUGUUAAUUUCUUGCGCUUUUCUUAUUCUUGUGACACGUUGUUAUACAAUAAACGAUUGUUCAAAUAUUUCUGAUAUUUAUUGAAGUGAUUGGAUGCGCACACGGAACUUACACAUAUUUUCUUACGAAAUGAAAGCUUUUCACAAACCGAAAAAACCUGAAAGCAAUGAGGUUGAGUCAAUCUUCACAUACACAAGUUUUUGUCUGUAUGCUUGCAAAAAUUUUAUUCAUAAGGUUUGUGGUUACUUUAAAAUUACGGCAGUAAACCGUUGAUUUCCUGAAUCCAAACCUAUUUUGACGACGCUGUAGACAUUUCGCUAGAAGCCUCCCAAUUGCGUGAGGAAAUAAGAACCGGCAUUACUUCUGCGCGUGUAAACUGAAUUGUAUUGUUUAUUUUCAAAAGAAAAGAUUUCAUUUUAAAACACUACGCCACAUUUGCAUAAAACCAAUGCAAACAAACCGUUAACAUAAUUU
This is a long non-coding RNA of Glossina fuscipes, 923 nucleotides long. RefSeq lists it as uncharacterized. The record is from RefSeq and is a predicted model, not a curated record. The transcript is spliced from 3 exons. NCBI's taxonomy places the organism in Eukaryota, Metazoa, Arthropoda, Insecta, Diptera, Glossinidae.